This 698-nucleotide long non-coding RNA is filed under the name Lathyrus oleraceus (garden pea). RNAcentral describes it as "Pisum sativum (pea) long non-coding RNA (PSAT_LNC036271)". Lineage: Eukaryota; Viridiplantae; Streptophyta; Magnoliopsida; Fabales; Fabaceae. The record is from RNAcentral.
AAAUGUUCAUUUUGAUCAGACAAUGUCCAUUGUCUGAUCGAUAGGCUUUAAUACCAUAUUAAAAUUUAAUUUAACUCAUUCUUACAAAACUGACUUGUAAAGUGAGGAGUGUCACUUUAUAUAAACUCUUUCAAUGUUGUAUCUCCGAUCAAUGUAAAAUUUAAGAUCUUUUUAAUAAUGACAAGUUGUUGACUUAUCGAUCUUUUUUUAGUUGUGCCACAUUUACUUCUACCAUUUUCUCUACCAAAUUCAUCUUUUAUUAUGUUUCUCUCUUAAUUUACUACUUUAUUCGAAGAAUCCACACCAUGUAAUUUUAUCACAAUGCAAUGCAUUCUUUUUGUCUUUAAACAGUUUUAUUCGGAGAAUUUUUUAAUUAGAUUUUUAUGUAGACCAUUUUUUAUUUUCUUUUAUAUUGUUAUCAUGGAUAUUGAACUGGUCCUUCCAAAAUGUAUGUAUUUUUUCUUAUUUUCUUUUUUAUUUAAAAAGGUUUUUUUAGAGUGUGGUAAUUUUGAAGUUAAUGUGGUGAAUCCAAAUCAGAAAAUUAACACAAACAAACACAAAUUCAAUUCUUUAAAAAAAAUAGAUAAAUCCAAUUCACGUGCACUUGUAAAGUAAAAAAUGUUUAUAAAACAUUAGCAUGAUUAUCACUGGUUGAAUUGUAAUUCCUUGUGUCGAAACAGGUUGCUUGACAGAGUAAG